UCCCCUCCUGUUCUCCUGGACAGAAUCACCAGCAUAAUUCACACGGACUUCUCUGAUCUCCCACAGGUCGUUAGACUGGAUAUAUUGUAUUGAUUUCUGCCUCCUUUAUUCCCCCAGCACUUUCAUUACCACUGUCAGGAAUGGGUUUCAGAAACCACAAAAAAUUUCAUGGAAGAGACAGGAAAAGAAACUUGAAGGAAUUUCACACUGAAUGGAAAAGUUCCUUCUAGUCGUCUUCGAGUGAGCUAGUUCUCAAACAUUAUUCUCUGUAGUCUUCCUGAGAACUCAGACUACUGGUAUAACCCUGCUUGGAAUAUGACUGCUGGAUUCUAGCAAUGUGUUGAUCCCGGCCCCAAGACCCGCCCACGAAAAUGAUUAUUUUAACCCUGAGGACCUAGAUGUGGCCAGUCUUUGCUGGGACCACUGUCGUCAUCGUCAUCGUCACCAUCUGACACUGGCUUUUAUCAAGGGUUGCUCCCCGAGCCUGGAUGCCAAUCAUUCACCUCUCCCUGGCAAAAGUAAUAAAUCAUAGCGAGAAACUGACUGCUUUUGAAGAAUAUAGAAGAUAAAGAAACUGAGUGUUUGAGAACUGGAAGGUGGCAAAAAGCAGCAGGAGGCGAAGAGGAAAAGAUCAAGUGGAAAGAGUCAGCACCAUGUGUACUUUGCUCAGCUCGGAACUUGAACCCUUCUACAGAGAUCACGUCUGUCUGAGCCUCUUGAAUCGCCAACCUUGUGAAAAACAAUAGGUAAACGUAUCCAGGGAGAAAUAGGGCAACACCAAGGAGACAACAGGGCCAUAGGACAGGUUCCAGGUACAGCUGAAGGGCCAUCUGGACACCCACUCCCACCCACUUUCGUCAGAGUCACCAAGCACAGUGGGGGGUCGGGGUGGAGCCACAGGCACUGACAGAGUAGUGACUCCCCCACAACUUCCUCCUUCCUGUCCAGCUCAGCCUGUUUACUCAGCAGACUUGUCUGGUGUAAAGCUCUCAUCUUCCCCACAACAGGCCCCAUUUCUCCACCACCUUCCCAUACCACACAUAGCUGUAUUUCUUAAGGGAGGGAUUUUUCUUUUUACGUUAGCUGUAGACAGCAACCAAAGGUAAAUAACAAUUUGUCUAUAUUUUAUUAUUCGAUUCCUUAAAGAGGUUUCACUUCCUUUCUUGGGAGCAAUGAGCCAAGCAUGAAUAGGUUUUGUGGACACUAAGUCUCAAGUUUGACUGUGACUCCACUUUGGCACUCUACCUGACCUUCUCCGGUAGUGCUGGGCACCUGCCUUACCUUAUUAAGUUAAUUAAAGUUUGGCUACUAAUGA
This is a long non-coding RNA of Felis catus (domestic cat), 1315 nucleotides long. RefSeq lists it as uncharacterized. The transcript has 5 exons. The record is from RefSeq and is a predicted model, not a curated record. Lineage: Eukaryota; Metazoa; Chordata; Mammalia; Carnivora; Felidae.